UGACCUCAAAUCAGGUAGGACUACCCGCUGAACUUAAGCAUAUCAAUAAGCGGAGGAAAAGAAACUAACAAGGAUUCCCCUAGUAACUGCGAGUGAAGCGGGAAAAGCUCAAAUUUAAAAUC
RNAcentral lists this ribosomal RNA (122 nucleotides) under Dermocybe cf. semisanguinea ectomycorrhiza V10. RNAcentral describes it as "partial 28S ribosomal RNA". It matches the Rfam family "Eukaryotic large subunit ribosomal RNA", at positions 1 to 122 of the family's 3401-position model. Lineage: Eukaryota; Fungi; Basidiomycota; Agaricomycetes; Agaricales; Cortinariaceae. The record is from RNAcentral.